UUGUAUUCAUCAUGCCAUCCAAAAUAAAUCAGUACAUUCUUUUACCCUUUGAAAUAACCUGAACCAUCUCCUUUUCUACUAACAAGACUCUGUGUAUACUACACUUAGAAAAACAAAAUAUUCAGCCAACCCAUUACAUGAAUACAACAUCAUCCCAACACAACUAACAUGCUACCAAAGCUUAAAUGAACUACAUAGCAUACAGGACCCAAUACCAUUUAUGUUACAGGAUUCCUCAUGAUUGAAUAUAUGGCCUGAACACUAAUUCAAUUGACAAGUUGUUCCUUAAGUCUUAUAACAGUCCGAAGUUUGAUAUAGUGACGAAAGCUUACUUAUUCAAGCUAAAAUUCAAUCAGAUGAUGUAAUUUGUUGAAUUCAAAGAAGCAAAUUAAAAUAACACUACUGAAUCAACAAGCUAAACUAGAGCUAUGCUUUAAAUGCUGCUUUCAUUUCAUUCUUCAAGUUUAACUUCACAAACAAUAGAGUUCAGGAGCAUGUACCUGAAUGGAACAAAAAACAGAACCAAAGACUCAGUUUCGAGGUUAAGAAGAAGCAAAUAGCAGCAAUAUAUCAAUAAUGAAACAUCAUCAAUAGGAAUCAGCACACAACCAGCAACGGAAUAGUAAACCAAACAGCAAAAAACUCAAACCAAAGCUUUCAAAAUCCAAAUUCAGUCCAUUUCAAACCAGGUGCAUGAUUUGACAUUCUCAGAAGUUUUUCUAACCAAAAUGGGAUCAGAGGACACAAAAUAAGCAGAAUUUGAAAAGUUUCAAACAAGUAAUGCAAGGAAUUCAGAGAUAUUUUAGGGUGCUGCCGAUUCAGUUUUACAGAAUUUUUCUCCUCUCAAAAUCUGCCUUGAAUGUCAAGUAAAGGUGCCUUUAUAGGCAAGCUAUUAGGGCAACCUAAGGGAUCAGUUUUUGUACUUUGCACCUUUUUAUAUUUUCAUUUUUGCUUAGGAUACCUUAGUGUAAAAUUCAAGACUUCAAUUUAGUCCCCACCCCAGCUUCCUAGAAGCUUCCUCAAUCAGUUUUCAAAGAUUCUUUCAAUUAAACUUCCCAAACUACCCUUUAAGACCCUAUUAUGUACCCUCCCUAACCUGAACCAAAACAGGCUGUCUGAAUCCAAACCUGGGCCCAAACAAAGAUGGGUUUCAAAUGCCCCAAGUCUGCAUUACCAUAAACCCCAAAUCUAAUCCCAAAUCGAUCAAGGUAAUAAAUCAAGAAAGGGCCAACAAAGGCUCAAAGUAAUUAACAUAGACCAAGCGUGAUGAAACCAGUCCACUGGCUAAAGAAAAGAAACACAGUAGAACUGGCCUAAUUAAACCAUGGGAAUAAAAUUCAACGAAGAAACAAAAGAAAGAAGACAAUUGACACGACUUGAACAAAACUUAACAAAAAUAAAUGAACGGAGACAUGUCAAAAGAAAUGAGACCAGAAUGGGGAACAAACAAAGUUGAAAAAGAAACAGGCAUACAAUCAAAGAUGAAUACAUAUAUCAUUUUACCAGAAACAACACGAGUGAGGUUGCUUUGACAAAACAAAUGGUCUUUAGCCUUGCAUGAGGCUGAUGAACUUCGAAAUAAGUCGAAAUCUAUGCUAAUCGCUAAUCCUCACAUAGAAUAGUUGAUUAGCAUGGGUCUUAACCCAUUAAGAGCCCAGGAAGUGAUUUGAUUUCAUUCAAGUCUCCGGCACCAGAUUUGGGAUUUGGGGGUAAAGGUGGGGAUUUUUGGGGUAUUUAUAUUAGAUUUGUGUUUCAUAGGGUGUGGGGAUUGUAUGGCAAAAUUUUGGUGGCGAUUUGAGGCGCCGGCGCCGGCUGGAGAUGGAGAGGAAUUUGGAGGCGGCGGGUUAGGGUUCUUGAGGUUGAAAGGGAGAUGAAUUGAAGUGGG
RNAcentral lists this long non-coding RNA (1885 nucleotides) under Nicotiana tabacum (common tobacco). Its description in RNAcentral is "long non-coding RNA (NTAB_LNC005025)". Lineage: Eukaryota; Viridiplantae; Streptophyta; Magnoliopsida; Solanales; Solanaceae. The record is from RNAcentral.